AAGUACUGCUACUAAUAUAGGUAAGAGGGUUGUUGUUGGUUGUUGCUUUUGUUUGAAGCAACCUUCUACUUUGGAAUCUCCUGCUGAGUCUCAAACAAGUGAUCCUAAUGAUCCUAACUUCACCUUUGAUAAGUUGAGGACUUUGAUUGAGACGAAUGAUUUCUAUUCCAAAGAAUGCAACCACCAUUGAAAUGCUACUUCUUUCUCCUCUUCUAAUAAAAAUUCUGGGUGAAAGUUAAGGGUUUUUGCUAAAUUGAUUUGAAAUCAAGCUUCAGAGAGGUUGCAGCCUUGCGGG
Molecule: unclassified non-coding RNA, 295 nt
Filed under: Hevea brasiliensis (rubber tree)
Lineage: Eukaryota; Viridiplantae; Streptophyta; Magnoliopsida; Malpighiales; Euphorbiaceae
Source: RNAcentral